This 659-nucleotide long non-coding RNA is filed under the name Populus tremula. RNAcentral's name for it is "long non-coding RNA (PTRE_LNC001089)". The record is from RNAcentral. Lineage: Eukaryota; Viridiplantae; Streptophyta; Magnoliopsida; Malpighiales; Salicaceae.
UUAUGAUAGGACUAAUAAUGCAAGGUCUGUUGUGUUUGGAUUUGUAAGCUAAUCUGACAUAAUGCCUUACAAUAUAGAAUUAAAUCAUCUAACGAGUAGAAACCUCAACGAGACAUUUGUACGCUUUCAUGCCUUUUAAAGACUAAUAAUGCAAGGUCUGUUGUGUUUGGAUUUGUAAGCUAAUCUGACAUAAUGCCUUACAAUAUAGAAUUAAAUCAUCUAACGAGUAGAAACCUCAACGAGACAUUUGUACGCUUUCAUGCCUUUUAAAUUAUGUAAAACCAACUCCUGAAACUCGAUUCAUGAUAGCGAAAUGGCCAUUUUGCAUAAUCUGCUGGGAUGAGUGUCAAGUGUUCUGGUUUCAUCCUCUAUUCCUGUUGAUUAGUCUUCUGUCAGUGGUGUUAAUUGAAAGCAGCUAAGUGCUUGUUGACGAAAUGAGGAUUGCCUAAAUAAUUGGUGACCACUUCCCUCACUUUUUGCAGCAUCUAUAGAGUUAAGAAUAUAGCAGAGAAGACUAGAGUUUUAAUUUGUUUCUCCCUUGUAUUCCGCUUUUCUCCUUUCUGGAGAAGAAUUAAGUACAUACUUUAAAGGGAUUCUCUCCUUAAUUUAUUGUUCAUGCAAUAUAUAUUAAAAACAAUGCAAAGAAGUCAAGAAUAACG